Molecule: small nucleolar RNA, 144 nt
Organism: Salvelinus sp. IW2-2015
Lineage: Eukaryota; Metazoa; Chordata; Actinopteri; Salmoniformes; Salmonidae
Product: small nucleolar RNA SNORD10
Exons: 1
Source: RefSeq, a predicted model, not a curated record
GUAUAAUGAUGAAAUCCAUGCGUGUCAACUGACUCUGGAACCCCCUGAGUGUUCUAGUUCCGCCUGUCAGCGUUCUGUUGGCUGGCGUGUUUCUAAACCUCAGGGCUCUGGAACUCAUGAUCAGAUUCCACACUGGCUGAAUAC